This 376-nucleotide ribosomal RNA is filed under the name uncultured bacterium. RNAcentral's name for it is "bacterial SSU rRNA". It matches the Rfam family "Bacterial small subunit ribosomal RNA", at positions 521 to 895 of the family's 1533-position model. The record is from RNAcentral.
UAAGACGUAGGAUGCGAGCGUUGUCCGGAUUUAUUGGGCGUAAAGAGUUCGUAGGUGGUUCAUUAAGUCUGGUGUUAAAGACCGGGGCCCAACCUCGGGAUCGCACUGGAUACUGGUGGACUGGAGUGCAGUAGAGGCAAGCGGAAUUCCCAGUGUAGCGGUGAAAUGCGUAGAUAUUGGGAAGAACACCGGUGGCGCAAGCGGCUUGCUGGGCUGUAACUGACACUGAGGAACGAAAGCUAGGGGAGCAAAUGGGAUUAGAUACCCCAGUAGUCCUAGCUGUAAACGAUGGAUACUAGGCGUAUCGGGUAUCGACCCCUGAUGUGCCGUAGCAAACGCGAUAAGUAUCCCGCCUGAGUAGUACGGCCGCAAGGUU